AUUUUUUUCGGGGGGGGGAGGGUAACCGGGAAAUGAACUUAGGACCUUGCACUUGCCAGACAGGCGCUUAUGCCACUGAGCUAUAUGCCCGGCCCUUGCCUUACUAUUUUUUAACAAGUGCUGUAAUUUUUUUUUCUUUAACAGAUCCACAGAACUGGGGCCCUGUUCCAGAAAGGCAGCAUGUAGCUCCUCUUUGUGCCUGUUGUGCUUUCUGGUUUGCUCUAAAGAAAGCUUUUGCAAAGUUCCCUUCUUCUGAACUUUACUACUUCGAGACAUGGAGCAGAACAGCCGUCCCUGUCCAACAUGCCUGCUUUACACUGCAAAUUUUAAAUAUUCAGAUUUCCAUGGUUAGAGAUUACUCACCUCCCCUGCUGGUCAUUAAAUCAGUCUGGCAGGAUUCCUCCGUAGUUCUGUGGCCUUCCGGGUAUGUGGCGGAGACACAGGCAGUGCUGCAGACAGGCCUGCUUGCUGUGAUGUGCUACCAAGCAAGUGACUUCAAAGGUCUGCUUUAAGCCUAUCUCAAGUAUCACUUGGGGCUCACACUGAGCCCCAAAGUCAAGUACCAGAUGGCACAUCCCACAAAGUCAAAGUUGAUCAGCUUACCCACAUCUCACAUUUCCCUAGCUCCUGUGCCAAGACAUGCUGCAACCUCCCAGGUGAAAACUAAUUUCUGUUAGCUUGCUUCUUCUCUUCUGUUCAUAAGGAGUUGCCAGUUAAAUGCUCAACUGUCCUGUGAAGUUUGCAUACCUGGGGAAUCCUGAGAGAUUUAGUUUUGGGUUUUUUUGGUACCAGGAAUCGAACUCAGGACCUUGAACGUGCCAGGCAGGCGCUUGUGCCACUGGGCUAUAUCCCCAGCUCAUGAUUUAGUUUUGUGUAUAUUUAAAAAAUAAUCAUCCUUCCCUAACUCUCAUAUGGCAUCUACCAACAUACUAUGAGUCAUUAAAACGUAGGGUUUUCUCUGAUGGCUUUAUAUUGAAAUUUCAGUAUAAGUUAGCAGAAUAAUCAGUUUGUCCCAAAUGCUUACCUGCAUGGAGAAAGUAAAAGACUGUUUCUCAAAUUGAAAUGAGACAAUUAGGGCAGGCAUUUGACAUAAUAGUUACACAAAUAAAAUGUAUUUAAAAAUCAAGCAAUGCUAGAAUUGAGACUGUACUCAGAUUUUUUUUUUGAUGCACUUUCUAUGAAAUGAAAGGAAAAUGAAAGCAACGUCACUCUCUUCUUAAUUUUCCCCUACUGUAAAAAUAAAUGCAUGAGAGAUACUUUCUCAGGCCUGGGUUCAAUCCUUUCUAAGUGUAUCUCCUUCUUGGAUAAUUUGCAGAAGGGACUGGACUGCCUAAGCCAUCACAGCACAUGUCACCAGACAAAGCACUCUUAAGAUGUUCAGACCAGAUUCCAGCAUCAGUGUCUGUGAAGAUGACCUUUAAGGUGCCUUCCAAAGCCAAAGUUCUUUGAUUGCAUAUUUCUUGGAUGUAACCUCUUCUUUUGUCAUUUUAUGCUCAGAAAAGCACAGCAGCUGGAAUAGGCAACAAAGUGCUGCCUCCUUAGUCCUGAACAGGUCAUGACUCACAGUGGAGUUUUAUACAGUGUCAGAGGCAGCCUGGCCUAAGUGAGCAACUGUCACAUACUGAGGCUUCAGGUAUGCCAGUAAUGGGCAUCUACUAACUGACAACUCUCAAUCACCACUGUCAAUUCAGCAGUUUUGCCAUUCAAGCAAAAAACUGCAUUUGGUUUCUUGAGUUCCCAUCUAGCAGGCAGGAUUUUAACCAUAAGGGUUUUGUAGAAAGCAAAGAUAACUGCAUCCCGGGGAGGAUUACAUUGGGAAAUCUGGUGUCUUCCCAAUUGCCUGAGACAGCAUCAUCUCAGAGGUUGCAAUAUUUAUCUCCAAAGUGCUGUAAGAUUUUUGAAUGUGAAUUUUUCUUUGACAUUUUUUUUCAAUUUACAUAAUCAGUAUGCCUGAAAAAAAAAACUAAUAAAAAGAAACAUACUUAGGAGAGUUUCUCUACCUGGGUACUAUCAACAUUUGGGGGUCAGAUAAUUCUUUGUUCUGAGGAUUAUAUUAUGCAUUACAGGAUGUUUGGCAGGAUUCCUGGCCUCUACCCACUGCAUCCCCCCAGUAGCAUAGUCUCCCCCUGCUGUUAUGGCAAACAAAAAUGUCUCCAGGCAGUGCCAAACAUCCUCUGAGAGGUUACUGUUACCCCCAGUUGAGAACUGCUUUAUGAGUUAUUUGUUUGUUUUGUUUUGUUUUUUUUCCGGUACCGGGAAUCGAACUCACGACGUUGUGCUUGCCAGGCAGGCACUAUGCCGCUGAGCUAAAUCCCCAGCCCCUUUAUGAAUUAUUUGAACAGGGUCAACAUCCUGAAAGGGCUCAGGUAAAAGAAUUUUGGAAUACAACAUGUGAACUUUGCAUGUAUGGAACAUCACAAGUCCUUGAUGUAUGGUCUUGUUCUGUUUAUGAUUUUCAUAAAUGUAAAAAUUCAUUCAAGCUAAAAAAUUGGCUGGAAUUUACUGAUCCUUACAUUGUAAAGGAAGAAAUAAUGGUAAUUCCUGUAAUGAUUAAGUCUUGACAAAAUAUUUGGAAAAACAUGGAUUUUGAUCUAGCUAUCAGGUCUUUGUGACCCUGAGCUAAGCGGUUAAGCUGCCCUUCUUGGAAAGCCUUAAAUUAAAUAACUCCAAGUUAAAUUCUAUUAACAUUGUUUGUAGUUUAAUUCUACCUAAUAUAUUUAAACAUAAAAGGUUUAAAUAAAACAGAAACUUGAUAUUUGAACAUGAUGUGAUUCUCUAAUAUGUGGAAGAACAUCUGCUUAGUGAGGCUGUGUCCUUCCCUUGGUUUGGAAUUCAAUGUCCCAAGUCCUUCUGAAGAAGAGGGUAUUGCUCAAAGGAAAUAUUCCUAUCCAACUGUAAAACCAAAAUAUGUUUUGAUUUGACUAUAGAAAUUAUCAAGGAAGGGAAAAUGGUGUCUCCAAAAAAGAGAUGCCUAAAAAUUGCCUGUAAAGUUGUAAAAUAAAAAAUU
Molecule: long non-coding RNA, 3007 nt
Filed under: Chinchilla lanigera (long-tailed chinchilla)
Lineage: Eukaryota; Metazoa; Chordata; Mammalia; Rodentia; Chinchillidae
Description: lncRNA (ENSCLAG00000026142.1)
Source: RNAcentral